RNAcentral lists this long non-coding RNA (214 nucleotides) under Carica papaya (papaya). RNAcentral describes it as "long non-coding RNA (CPAP_LNC008188)". The record is from RNAcentral. Lineage: Eukaryota; Viridiplantae; Streptophyta; Magnoliopsida; Brassicales; Caricaceae.
CAUCGGCUAUAGCUCUUCUGCCUCACCCAAUCAACAGCUUCCCUAGAAAAAAGGGAACAGGUUGGGGUUACUUUAAAUACCCCACUUGAGAGUCGUCUGAUCUAUUGCACUAAAUCUCGGCUGUUGGAUUGGUCAUGGACAUUUUCUUCAUUUCACAUGCAAAAAUGAAUCCUAGAUGUCCGAUCUUCCUUCCCUAAAUCGUGGUCGUUCGAUU